GUAUUAGUUAUGUUCUUUAAACUCAAAGGAUUUGGCGGUAUUUUAUUCCUUUCAGAGGAGCCUGUUCUGUGAUCGACAAUCCACGAUGGUUUUUACUUGGUCUUGUUUCCAGUUUGUAUACCUCCGUCAUAAGGGAGUUUUUAAAGAAUUAAUUUCCUACUACAUUUAAUUUGUUUAUGUCAGGUCAAGGUGCAGCUUAUGGCCAAGUUGAGAUGGGCUACAAUAAUUUUAUUUAUACGGAAUUGAACUUUGAAUGGUUCAUUGAAGGUGGAUUUGAGAGUAAAUUGGUUUACUUAAACUGUUUGAAUUUUGGCUCUAGAAUAUGCACACAUCGCCCG
Molecule: ribosomal RNA, 338 nt
Filed under: Vestalis beryllae
Lineage: Eukaryota; Metazoa; Arthropoda; Insecta; Odonata; Calopterygidae
Description: partial 12S ribosomal RNA
Source: RNAcentral